CCUACGGGGGGCUGCAGUAGGGAAUAUUGGGCAAUGGUCGGAAGACUGACCCAGCCAUGCCGCGUGCAGGAAGAAGGAUCUCUGAUCUGUAAACUGCUUUAGCAGGGGAAGAAAAUGAGGGUGCGCCCUUAACUGACGGUACCCUGAGAAUAAGCACCGGCUAACUCCGUGCCAGCAGCCGCGGUAAUACGGGGGGUGCAAGCGUUGUCCGGAUUUAUUGGGUUUAAAGGGUGCGCAGGCGGCCCGGUAAGUCAGCGUUAAAAGACAGCCGCUCA
RNAcentral lists this ribosomal RNA (275 nucleotides) under uncultured bacterium. RNAcentral describes it as "partial 16S ribosomal RNA". It matches the Rfam family "Bacterial small subunit ribosomal RNA", at positions 338 to 611 of the family's 1533-position model. The record is from RNAcentral.